AUUAAUGAAAAUAAAGGCUUUGGAAGAAGACCAAGGUUCUAACGAUAAGCGCCGUAUAAGGACACGAAAGGUCAGCGAAGUUAUGUAUCAGGCAACUGGUAAAAAAGCUGAAUUGCGCAAAGGAAACUAAGUGCUAGUCCCGUGGACAGGAUUAGACCAUAAACUAAUGAGGAACGAAACAACGGAGUAUCAUUAGAGACAGAAAUCAACCGAGAUCCCGAGAGUAGUGGCGAACGAAAUCGGAUUAUCCCACGUUUAAUGGAUAGGUUCUGAGGAAUCCAUAGAGGGUACAUAGUCAAGACCCGGAAUUCAGAUCCCUUUUCCAGUCAAUCAAAUGAUUGAUGACGUAUGAUGAGUAGGUAGCGUGAUGAGCGUUACUGAAGAGGAGGACCUCCUUCAAAGGAUAAGAGUAGUUAGAGACCGAUAGUGAACCAAGUAGCGUGAGCGAAAGGAUGAAAGAGAACCCAAUCGGGGAUUGAAAUAGAACUGAAAUUCAAAGCUUAAGAGCAGUAGGAGUUCAAUUAGGAUGACUACGUACCUUUUGCAUAAUGGGUCUACGAGUAUAUAGUGUUAGCGAGGUUAAGUCAUGAGAUGGAGCCGAAGCGAAAGCGAUUAAGAGUUAGCAUUAUAUGACCCGAAACGGAAUGAUCUAAGCGUGUUCAAGUGGAUACGAGAGUAAAAUCGAGUUGAAGGCUGAACCAGUUUACGUGGCAAUGUAAUUGGAUGAAAUGCGCUUAGGGGUGAAAGGCUAAUCAAAUUCCGUAAUAGCUGGUUUUCCGCGAAACAUAUUGAAGUAUGACGGUUCAGUAAUAUUCACCAUGAAAGGUAAAGCACUGCAAGGAUCCGAAAGGCGUUCUGUAACGGAAUGUAGGGUGGAGUGAAAUCCAUACCUAAUCUAAGCAAACUCAGAAUUAGCAUGGUGGAGAGAACUAGUCGGACUGUAAGCGAUAAGGUUUAUAGUCAAGAGGGAAAGAGCCCUGAUCAAAAGCUAAGGUCUUUAAGUGGAAUUAAGUGUGAAAGGAAGUUUCAAUGCGGAGAUAACAAGAAAGUAGGCUUGGAAACAGCCAUCUUUGAAAGAAAACGUAACAGUUCAUUGAAUAAGCGUUGAAGCACCGAAGAUUUAGGAGGCUAAAUUCCAGCACCGAAGCUUUGAACUUAGAGAUUGUAUGCUCUAAGUGGUAGCGGAAGAAUCUGAAUUUAUUGAAUCGAUCUGCAAAGAUCAUAGUCGAUUCGUUGACACUUUGGAAUUCAGAUGACAAAAUGUAGACAUGAGUAAACAAAAGUCAGUGGAUUGGAAGUCUGGUACGUUGAGAUCAGAUGAAAGAUCUGUGACACUGACUCGCCGAAAGUCCUAGGUUUUCUGCGUCCAGAUAGACUGCGCAGAGUGCAACAGCUCCUAAGAGAAAAGCGAAAGCUGUACUCGAUGGAUAAACUAGAAUGACAAGAGAAUCGCAGCGGCAUUUAGGGUAUCACUACUCUAGUGACAAUGGGUUCGUAUUCAGGAAACAAUUCUAGUAUGAAGACUGUACUUAAUCUGACACCAGUGGACAGACGUUAAUGCGUCAAGGCGUGGAUGGAAUGUUCUCACAGGAACUCGGCAAAUUUGUACCGUAACUUCGGGAUAAGGUAUGUACUGCUUGAGAAAGUAGUAUCGCAGAGAAUGGCAGAGUGCGACUGUUUAUCAAAAACACAGUGUACUGCAAACUCGUAAGAGGAAGUAUAGUACAUGACGUGUCCUCAAUGCUAGUACCUGAAGUCAGCUUAUUUAACGGUAGGUUGUAUAAGGGCUAGUGAUAGGCGUCCUACUCCUGAGGAUGCGAAGGUAGCGAAAUUCCUUGUCUUGUAAUUGAAGACCUGCAUGAUGACGUAACGAUGCUUUGACUGUCUUUGAGAACAAAUCCAUGAAAUUGAAUUAACCGUGCAGAUGCGGUUUAUGGCUAGGUAGACGAGAAGACCCUAUACACCUUUACUAUAGGCAUGUAACAUAUUAAAGAAGAUCUGAGUGUAGAAUAGACGGGAAUGGCGGAGAAAAGCCACAGUGAAAUACCGUCCUCUGAUUAUGAGUCUUUCUUUAACCUUGAUAUUGCAUGCCAGUUAGUUUUCUUGGGGCGAGACCCUUUUAAAGUGUAACAAAGGGAUAGAAAGUCAAACUACUACUCUUCUCUUGGAGGGUAGCGUCGUGUAAGAGCAUAAGUUUGAUUGACUGUGAGACCUACAAGUCGAGCAGGUGUGAAAGCAGCUUCUAGUGACCCGCUUAUGUUUCGAGGAGAAGUAAGCGAUCAAUGAAUAAAAGGUACGUUAGGGAUAACAGGCUGAUCUGAGCUAAGAGUCCAUAUCGCAGCUUAGGUUUGGCACCUCGAUGUCGGCUAAUCUCAUCCUUCUGGUGCAGAAGCUAGAAAGGGUUCUACUGUUCGUAGAUUAAAGAGGUACUUGAGCUGGGUUCAGUACGUCGUGAGACAGUACGGUUUCUAUCUUCUAGCCACUUCUUGAUAUCUAUUCCCAAAGAUUUCUUUGUACGAAAGGAUCAGAAAUCUGCAGCCUAUGGUGUAUCAAUUAUGGAUGACAUCCGUACAGUUGAGUAGCCACGCUGUAAUAGAGUAGAUCUGAAAUCAUCUCAAGAUCGAAACUAUGGGAUUGGAGAUAUCUAAUAGCGUUCUGUUGACGAGGCUACAGGUGUUAGACUUUUAACGGUUUUAGCUUAGUAGUACUUACGCUAUGCUUUCAAUAAUUU
This 2731-nucleotide ribosomal RNA is filed under the name Amoebidium parasiticum. Its description in RNAcentral is "LSU rRNA". It matches the Rfam family "Bacterial large subunit ribosomal RNA". Lineage: Eukaryota; Ichthyosporea; Ichthyophonida; Amoebidiaceae. The record is from RNAcentral.